RNAcentral lists this unclassified non-coding RNA (88 nucleotides) under Pseudomonas libanensis. Lineage: Bacteria; Pseudomonadati; Pseudomonadota; Gammaproteobacteria; Pseudomonadales; Pseudomonadaceae. The record is from RNAcentral.
UGUGGGAGCUGGCUUGCCUGCGAUAGCGGUCUGUCAGAUACAGCGGUGAUACUGACCCACCGCUAUCGCAGGCAAGCCAGCUCCCACA